GUGAUUUGACUACCAUCUCUUCAGUAUGCAUGUCCCAAUGCAUGUCCUCCUGUCACACUUUGCAGAACUCAAAGCUGUUCUGGAUACUCUGACCCACAAUCCUUUGCACAGCGGACAUAUGAGCAAGAGGGUCAAAGUUCAAGGUGUAAUGUGAGGAUGAAGAAGUUUGUUUGCAUGCAACAGCACGUGCUUUCCAAGCCGCAGUACAUACGUAGUGAAAAGAAAGAGCAUGCGCAGUGAUGACUUACUGAACAUGGCUUCCAGUCGAACCAGACAGCUGAUGAAGCUGUCGAAGUCGAUGUUCAUGUUCUCGUUAGCGUAGCGCAUGGUGAUAAUGUCGUACAGCUGGUUGUUGAGACGGAAGCCUGAGCGGGACACAAGACACAUGACUGUACAGUGAAGAGAACAUUUAGAGGAUGUCUGAACUCCUGCAGAUUGAGUCUCCCCGUCCCGUCCAUCUGCACGCCAGUUAAGAAGCUUCACUCAAAACAAGCGAGUGUAUCCUGUGACUCCUGUGAGUUUUAUUAGUUCUUUUACUUUUAUCUGAUACAUUUAGUUAAACAAAUAAUUAAUUAUAUAUUAUUAUUAUUAUAGAUUCAGAUACACAGCUGUAUAUUAAUAAUAAUUAUUUUUUAAAAUAUUUAUUUUAUUAGUAUUUUUAAACUUUAAUUAAGUAAAAGUAAAAAUAUCAGAGUAUUUCUUCCACAACUAAAUAAUAAAAACACUGAUGGGGAACAUUUUACUACACAAACAAUUACACCGUCUCAUAAUUACUGUCAAACAAUCCAACUCAUAUCAAUUCAAAUAGUCACACACACACACACACACACACACACACACACUGUCAGCUGUGUGUUCUCAUUGGCUCAAAAGCAUGUCCGUCACAGACCCUGCGGGGGUCUCAGCAGGUGGUGCCUCCUACAGAACACAGCCAGCCCGAUGCACUCGAUACAAAGGAUACGUCCAUCAGAGCAAUCAUGCUCCUGCAGCUCUCCAGGCUGAAGCCCUCCGUGUUCAGGUCCUUAUCUGCAGUUUAAACUGAAGCUGUGAGAAAGUGUCGCUGUGACGUCGCUGGACUCACGUUUGGUGAUCACUCUGUUCAGAACGUUUUUCAGUUCGUUGGCUGUGAUUUCCAUGUCCUGUGAGAGACACCGCAGCGCAGGAGGAAACAGUAGAAGAAGAAAAGAGACGAGCAUUAAAACGUGACUCAAAAUUACAUAAAAAGUCAGAAAAUUAAUUUUAAAAGUUGCUUUGAUGUCAUAUAAUGUGACGUGAUACAAAAUCAUUAAAUAUGUAUUAAAUAUUAAUUCAUUUUCAGAUCUUUAACCCUUUCAUUGCCUGUUUUUCUCCAUAAAGCCACUGAUAAACAUUAUAA
Long non-coding RNA from Cottoperca gobio, 1375 nucleotides. RefSeq lists it as uncharacterized. The transcript has 3 exons. The record is from RefSeq and is a predicted model, not a curated record. Lineage: Eukaryota; Metazoa; Chordata; Actinopteri; Perciformes; Bovichtidae.